This is a long non-coding RNA of Oncorhynchus tshawytscha (Chinook salmon), 2671 nucleotides long. NCBI's taxonomy places the organism in Eukaryota, Metazoa, Chordata, Actinopteri, Salmoniformes, Salmonidae. The record is from Ensembl.
AUGGCCAAUAAGGCCAGAGGGGGUGUGGUAUAUGGCCAAUAAGGCCAGAGGGGGUGUGGUAUAUGGCCAAUAAGGCCAGAGGGGGUGUGGUAUAUGGCCAAUAUACCACGGCCUAGUGGUUAGAGCGUUGGGACAGAAACCGAAAGGUUGCGAAGAUCAAAUCCCCGAGCUGUCGUUCUGAACAAGGCAGUUAACCCACUGUUCCUAGGCCGUCAUUGUAAAUAAGAAUUUGUUCUUAUUAACUGACUUACCUAGUUAAAUAAAGGUUAAAUAAAUCAAAUAUUUUUUUUUUUAAAACCCACAAACCCCCGAGGAGCAUUAUUGCUAUUAUAAACUGGUUAACAACGUAAUGUUGUCAUACCCGUGGUAUAUGGUCUGAUAUACCGCGGCUAUCAGCCAAUCAGCAUCCAGGGCUCGAACCACCCAGUUUAUAUAUAUAUAUAUAUAUAUAUAUAUAUAUAAUGAGGGUAAUUCAUAUUGAAGGGAAGAGGUUGUGUGUUUGUCUGUUAUGGGGGUCAGUGGUAAUAACUAGAGAGGGUUGAUAUGAUUCUGUUAUGGGGGUCAGUGGUAAUAACUAGAGAGGGUUGAUAUGAUUCUGUUAUGGGGGUCAGUGGUAAUAAAUGUAAUCACCCUGUUCCUGGAGAGAUACCCUCCUGUAGGUUUUCAUUCCAACCCCAGUUGCAACUAACCCGAUUCAUUUUAUCAGCCAGCUAAUUUGUAGAAUCAGGUCCGCUAGAUUAGGGUUGGAGUUAAAACCUACAGGAGGGUAGCUCUCCAGGAACAGGGUUGGAGUUAAAACCUACAGGAGGGUAGCUCUCCAGGAACAGGGUUGGAGUUAAAACCUACAGGAGGGUAGCUCUCCAGGAACAGGGUUGGAGUUAAAACCUACAGGAGGGUAGCUCUCCAGGAACAGGGUUGGAGAUAAAAACCUACAGGAGGGUAGCUCUCCAGGAACAGGGUUGGAGAUAAAAACCUACAGGAGGGUAGCUCUCCAGGAACAGGGUUGGAGUUAAAACCUACAGGAGGGUAGCUCUCCAGGAACAGGGUUGGAGUUAAAACCUACAGGAGGGUAGGGGCCCAGGUUCUUGUUAAGUUUUAUUCUGACACCCUGUCCUAUUCCCUAUAUAGUGCAGUGUGCACUAUAUUUGACCAGAACCUCUGUAGGGAAUAGGGUGCCACAACAUUCUGUUUCCAUGGUGACGUGGAGCUCAGCUUGUCUCGUUGGAAGGCAACACACAUAAUGCCUUGUUUUUCUUUUUACAAGGUUACUUAAAAAACAUUUUUUUAAAGUUAAGCACUUGAGUUUCAUAUGGUAAUCGUAAAUAAAAACUAUUUCUACUUCCUGCAUUCAGAAAGAGAGUUUAAACAUGGCGAUAUCCAGAUGUUGUCAUUUUCAAUGUAAGGAAAUCACCUGUUUGGGUGUUCGUCCACCCUCUUCCCUAUGUAGUGCACUACUUUUGACCAGGGCCUAGUGGGUAAGCCAUAGGGCCUUGGUCAAAAAUAGUGCACUACAUAGGGAAGAGGGUGCCGUUUGGGAUGAACGCUGGGACAGGUGGGACUCCAUUGUUUAACAUAAAAGGGCUAUCGCUUCAUUGGUCCCUCUCAUGUAACCAAUGGCCUGAAGGAUGUUUUAUGUUUGUUUGUGACAAAAUUUUGUUUUUAAUUGUUCAUGAAUAGGUUCAUUCUUUCCCACCUGUCCUGUGGUUGGUUGGUUUCUAGAUUGAAUUAUUAAAUAUCUGUCUUUAAAAAAAAAAAAUCUCAUUUAUUUUUUCAUUUAGUGGAAUUCAACCACUUUUCCGUAAGUUGUGGUCUAUAUAGGGGCGGCAGGUAGCCUAGUGGUUAGAGUUGGGCCAGUAACCGAAAGGUUGCUAGAUUGAAUCCCCCGAGCUGACAAGGUAAAAAAUCGUCCGUUCUGCCCCUAAACAAGGCAGUUUAACCCACUGUUCCUAGGCUGUCAUUGUAACUAAGAAUGUGUUCUUAACUGACUUGCCUGGUUAAAUAUAAGGGAUGCCAUUUGGGACAAACUAAGUUGUAUACUGGAGAUGAUGAAUGAGGUUUAACAGUGGUGGAAUGUCCCCUUUAAUUAGACUGGUAGCACUACUUCUGGUGCACAACCAUUUUUGCUACACCCGCAAUAACAUCUGCUAAAUAUGUGUAUGUGACGAACCAAAUGUGAUUUGACUGUGAUUCCCUCUGAUGCGUUACCUGGGUUGUUCUGGUUUCUCCCCAAAAAAUGACGACUUAGCAAACAAACAAAUUAAUAAAAUACUUUAUUCUUUUCCUAAGAAUAUGAUGAAACUUUGUGUUUGUUCCAAAGAUUUUUUCCUACAGAUGAGAGAAUGUAUUUGUGUUUUAGGCCUAGAGAUGAGAUGAGAGAAUGUAUUUGUGUUUUAGGCCUAGAGAUGAAAUCACGCCUUUAGAUUCUAACACGAACACGCCAACAAUUUGACGGCGUUGUUUUUGAGCAAUGCCGUCAUAUCGCUGUGGGACUCUUAACACACACACACCAUUAGACUCUAACACACACACACACCAUUAGAUUCUAACACACACACACCAUUAGAUUCUAACACACACACACACCAUUAGAUUCUAACACACACACACCAUUAGAUUCUAACACACACACACACACCAUUAGACACACACACACCAUUAGAUUCUAACACAC